RNAcentral lists this ribosomal RNA (492 nucleotides) under uncultured bacterium. Its description in RNAcentral is "partial 16S ribosomal RNA". It matches the Rfam family "Bacterial small subunit ribosomal RNA", at positions 29 to 507 of the family's 1533-position model. The record is from RNAcentral.
AGUGAACGCUGGCGGUAGGCCUAACACAUGCAAGUCGAACGGCAGCACAGUAAGAGCUUGCUCUUACGGGUGGCGAGUGGCGGACGGGUGAGGUAUACAUCGGAAUCUACUUUUUCGUGGGGGAUAACGUAGGGAAACUUACGCUAAUACCGCAUACGACCUACGGGUGAAAGCAGGGGAUCUUCGGACCUUGCGCGAUUGAAUGAGCCGAUGUCGGAUUAGCUAGUUGGCGGGGUAAAGGCCCACCACGGCGACGAUCCGUAGCUGGUCUGAGAGGAUGAACCGCCACACUGGAACUGAGACACGGUCCAGACUCCUACGGGAGGCAGCAGUGGAGAAUAUUGGACGAUGGGGGCGAGCCUGAUCCAGCCAUACCGCGUGGGUGAAGAAGGCCUUCGGGUUGUAAAGCCCUUUUGUUGGGAAAGAAAAGCAGCAGGUUAAUACCCCGCUGUUCUGACGGUACCCAAAGAAUAAGCACCGGCUAACUUCGUG